Molecule: ribosomal RNA, 468 nt
Filed under: uncultured bacterium
Lineage: Bacteria
Description: partial 16S ribosomal RNA
Rfam family: Bacterial small subunit ribosomal RNA
Source: RNAcentral
GACGAACGCUGGCGGCGUGCUUAACACAUGCAAGUCGAACGGAAAGGCCCUGCUUUUGUGGGGUGCUCGAGUGGCGAACGGGUGAGUAACACGUGAGUAACCUGCCCUUGACUUUGGGAUAACUUCAGGAAACUGGGGCUAAUACCGGAUAGGAGCUCUUGCUGCAUGGUGGGGGUUGGAAAGUUUCGGCGGUUGGGGAUGGACUCGCGGCUUAUCAGCUUGUUGGUGGGGUAGUGGCUUACCAAGGCUUUGACGGGUAGCCGGCCUGAGAGGGUGACCGGCCACAUUGGGACUGAGAUGCGGCCCAGACUCCUACGGGAGGCAGCAGUGGGGAAUAUUGCACAAUGGGCGGAAGCCUGAUGCAGCAACGCCGCGUGCGGGAUGACGGCCUUCGGGUUGUAAACCGCUUUCGCCUGUGACGAAGCGUGAGUGACGGUAAUGGGUAAAGAAGCACCGGCUAACUACGUG